Molecule: long non-coding RNA, 2257 nt
Organism: Corvus hawaiiensis (hawaiian crow)
Lineage: Eukaryota; Metazoa; Chordata; Aves; Passeriformes; Corvidae
Exons: 2
Source: RefSeq, a predicted model, not a curated record
CCACGUGGACUUUACUGAAGUCCCCCACGUGCAGAGGUGGAAAUUCUUGUUAGUAAUAACAGACCAUCUUCCCCAUUGGGUGGAAGCUGUUCCCAGUGUCAGAGCCACAGCCAAUGUAGAAUGUAAAACCCUCUUAGAACAAAUUAUUCCCAGGUAUGGAAUGAUUACUAAGAUAGACACACUUUACAUCAAAAGUUUUACAGCAACUAACUCAAGCCUUAAGAAUCAAACGAGAACUACAUAGCCCAUGGCACCCAGAGAGUUCAGGACGGGUAGAGAGGAUGAAACAAACUUUAAAGAGAACCUUAACAACUGAAUUAAUAAUUGAAACUCAAAUGUCAUGGGUAAAAUGCCAACCUCUGGCUUUAUUGAGAGUUCAGACACAACCAGGUCAGACGUGAGAGUGUCACCUUACAAAAUGAUGGUUGGUGUUGAAGAUGAAAGUUUGGUAAGAAAGUUUUGCAGAUAUGUGGGCUCGGCUGAGAGAUCUCUGAGUGUGGAGCCUGAGGAUGGGACAGAAAUGGAAGCAGGUUUUGAUGUAGAGUGGAAGAUGUUUGCUGAAACAUUGAUCACUGAAUGGGUGAGAGGACAAAGGUUGGAGAUGAGCUGGAAGGAGAUUUUUGUGCUUAGAACAGAGGUAUGUGACUGCAAACAAGGACAUGUUUUUCACCGGGUGGGUGGGUCCCAGGAAGAGCUGAAGUAAAUAGGAAACAUGUUUUUGCCAGGAAGAGCUAUGGCAGGCAGACAAGGAAUGUUGAUGUGGCAGGAAGAAGAGAGGUCUGAGAGUGUUCCAUUGUGAGCUUGAAUUGUAGCUUGCUUGCUCUUGUGAUUGGAUGGUGGUGACUCUAGGGUUCUAUAAGAUAUGUACAGUACGGUGGUGGUAGUACCUAAGAUAGGCUAUAGGCAAAUGUAAAGGUGUUGUGUCUGGUGCUUGUUGGUUGUUAUGUCUUGGGAUACUCAGCAAAGAAAGAUGUACAAUGCUCUCUUGAACAGAAAGAGGCUUCAGUUAUGCCUACAAGCUGUGGCUGACAGCUGUGGGGCUGGCUCUGGAUACCCACUCCCUGAAAUGCUUUUGUGACUUUUCCUAUGCAAUAAACAGCUUUCAAGAGAGCUGCCUGAAGUCCAGACAUCCUUCAUGAACCCUUUUCCUAUAGUUUGGGUUACCCUUUUUGAACACACAACAUGAAACUGCUACCUAUGAAUUAGGGGAAUGAGUGUUAAAGAAUAUGUCAACACAAUUGCAAGGACCCUUGAAGAUUUGCGGUUCAAAGGGAUAAUCCCUCAAACCACUCCUUUAGACUUUAAAAUCCGUAACAUCCAUCCAGGGGAGUGGGUGUUAGUAAAAACAUGGAAGGAGCAAUCUUUAGCUGCACAAGGGAAAGGUCCUUUUCAGGUGCUACUGACAACUGAGGCAGCGAUCCGGGCCAAGGAGCGAGGGUGGAUCCACGGCAGCAGAAUCAAAGGACCCGUGCAGGAACCUAAGGAGUGGACUAGAACAUCUAAGCCUGGGGAUACCAAGUUCACAGAAACGACACUCUCACUGCACGAAGUGUAGAACGCCAAAUCUAUUCCCCAAUCCAGGCAGAGCAAAGAACAGCUGAAACAGUAACCCUGCUUUGUGGAUGGGAAUUACUAGUGCCUGUUGAAUGGGAGAUACCUGAGGAACGGUGGGAAGCUACAAUUAAGAAGUGUCAAAAGCAAUUUGCCUGGAAAUCAGCGAAAAGGAAGUGACGAGGAAAUAGAGGGCAAGGCCCGAUGACCACUGUAGCUGCCACCAAGAAGAUCACAUACCCCUGCUGUGGGCAGCAGCCCCAUAGGCACGGGGGGGUGGAGGUAUCGGCCAUAUGGGACCUCUGUUAUUCCUUUAUCUGUCACUCCUCUUUUGUCUCUGCCCUCUGGGGAUACCGACACAGCCACGCCAUGGGUGUUACCGAAAGCUGUACAUGGAAAACACCCAGGUUCCUUUUUCAUUGCACGUACCCAUGUCAACAGUCUCUGUUACAACCCAUCCAAAGUAGAAAACUGGAUGCAAAAUGGGAAAAAGCACUGGACUGUAGAAAACCUAGGAAUGAGUGGGAGCAGGUUGGGAAGUAAAUGUCCAAAAGGGGAGAGAUGGGUUUGUUUCGCAUCUAUUGUUGGGAAUAAAGUCUCAAGCUUAGUAAAAGAACAACUAGUAAAUAAAGAGGCAAAGCCAGCACAACAAUCUAACUCUGUAUCGACCCCAGUUCAAGACAUGUAGUUGAAACUCAAAAAACAA